This 424-nucleotide ribosomal RNA is filed under the name bacterium. RNAcentral describes it as "bacterial SSU rRNA". It matches the Rfam family "Bacterial small subunit ribosomal RNA", at positions 1 to 411 of the family's 1533-position model. The record is from RNAcentral.
UUUAUUGAGAGUUUGAUCCUAGCUCAGGGUGAACGCUGGCGGCGUGCUUAAGGCAUGCAAGUCGAACGAAUUAUUUUUUAGUAGCAAUACUGAUAACUGAUUAGUGGCAAACGGGUGCGUAACACAUUGGUAACCUGCCUUGAAGACGGGCAUAACUCCUCGAAAGAGGAGCUAAUUCCCGAUGGACACGAGGGGACGCGAGUCAUUCUCGUGUAAAAGUCCAAAAGACGCUUCAAGAGGGGCCUAUGGUCUAUCAGCUUGUUGGUGGGGUAACGGCCUACCAAGGCUAUGACGGAUAGCGGGUCUGAGAGGACGGCCCGCCUCAGUGGAACUGCGACACUGUCCACACUCCUACGGGAGGCUGCAGUCAGGAAUAUUGGGCAAUGGGCGAAAGCCUGACCCAGCGACGCCGCGUGCAGGAAGA